This is a long non-coding RNA of Cygnus atratus (black swan), 908 nucleotides long. RefSeq lists it as uncharacterized. Lineage: Eukaryota; Metazoa; Chordata; Aves; Anseriformes; Anatidae. The transcript has 4 exons. The record is from RefSeq and is a predicted model, not a curated record.
UUGCUGUCAGCAAGCACUAAUUUUAGAAGGACAUUUUAAACUGUUUCUUUCAUUUUUCAACAGUGCCAGUAAUGCCUUUCUGUGUUAAACUGCAUAAUUACAAAGUCUAGACAUUGAAAUGCCUGAAUUCUGCUUUUUUUUUUUUUUUUUAAAGUCAAGAAAUUUAAUUAUUUAAAAGCUAAGGUCAAAAAAGACAGGAACUUCUGAAGAACAGCCAGGCCCAUCCAAACCUUCACUGCCCUCUCUCUCUCCAUCAACUGCAGGAGAGACUAGAAGAGCUGUCUGCACUAUGGACAUACCAACUCUAAUUGGAGUCCUGAAAGGGUCUCCACAAUGCCUCAGGAAUAUUUCAUACUCAGCAGUGGCAGUUCCAUCAUGACAUUUCCCGUCCCGACAAGCUGAAGAAAAGUAAAGAAUUUUGUCCACUGCAUUUUACUGUGUUCUGGCUGAAUUUAUACAAUUUUUAAUCUUUUACAGCAUUUGUCCCACAGUAUGAGUUAUGAUUGAUCAAAGACAAAAAUUUUUUUCAGAUUAUUAAUCUAAUUUACUUAAAAGCUGCAUAGAAGUUCUAACUCCAUUUCUUAAUCUUAACUGCAUUUAAAGAGAAAUUAAAGGCAUAACUAAAAUGUGCCAUCUAGAUUAUGACAGUAUCUAACAUAUAAAAUGUACUUCCUAAACCUAUAAAAAAUGCUUCUUAUCACAAAAUAUAUAGAUAUGAAUAUCUGUAUAUUUUAACAUAUAAAUAUCAAUACCUGUGAUAUGAAUAAAGAAAUGAAAAAAACAGAAAACAGUUUUGAACAGUAAAAAAGCAGAAGCCAGUUGCACAGACUCGAUUUGAUGUUUAGUCACAAGUUGCUUUCCCUUAUAUAUUUAUUUGGGGUUUGAAUUAAACACAUUAUUUCCACCUU